AUUGAACGCUGGCGGCGUGCUUUACACAUGCAAGUCGGACGAGUGGCGGACGGGUGAGUAAUGCAUCGGAACGUGCCCAGUAAAGGGGGAUAACUGUCCGAAAGGAUAGCUAAUACCGCAUACUAUUCGAGCGGCCGAUGUGGGAUUAGCUGGUUGGCGGGGUAAAGGCUCACCAAGGCGACGAUCAGUAGCGGGUCUGAGAGGAUGCACCGCCACACUGGGACUGAGACACGGCCCAUACUCCUACGGGAGGCAGCAGUGGUGAAUUUUGCACAAUGGGCGCAAGCCUGAUCCAGCCAUGCCGCGUGUAUGAAGAAGGCCUUCGGGUUGUAAAGGACUUUUGGCGGGGAGGCGGUACCUGAAGAAUAAGCACCGGCUAACUACGUGCCAGCAGCCGCGGUAAUAC
Molecule: ribosomal RNA, 406 nt
Filed under: uncultured bacterium
Lineage: Bacteria
Description: partial 16S ribosomal RNA
Rfam family: Bacterial small subunit ribosomal RNA
Source: RNAcentral